RNAcentral lists this non-coding RNA (48 nucleotides) under Schistosoma mattheei. The record is from RNAcentral. Lineage: Eukaryota; Metazoa; Platyhelminthes; Trematoda; Strigeidida; Schistosomatidae.
AUCCAGCUUACGAGUCCAAAAUAGGACGAAACAUGCGUCCAACUGGAU